UUUCAUCUGAUUUUUAUGUGUUAAUGCAGUUCAUAAAGAAUUCCAACCAUUUACAAGUGUAUGAAGCAGAAUGGGGGUGUAGCUCAGUAGAAGGCCCUGGGUUCAGUCCCACUACUGAAAAAAGAAGCAUUAAUCUUUCUAAAUUCACAGGUUUAAAAAAAUCAUAGGCUGGACUUGACUGGUGUGGUUUGCUGACCCUGUUCUACCUCCUGUAGUCCAAUCAGCAUGCGACCCUGGCAACAUGCCUCUCCCUCAUUUGGUGACUUGUUUCCAUGGUGACUCCGGCCAGGUGCUCCUCUUCAUAACUGUGGCUUCCUUGUCUGUCUGUGGAUGUUGUUUUCUGGGUACCUUCAUGUGCUGUGGAAGAGGGUGGGUGAUCAGGGGUGUGCUAUUCGUGCAUUUUCUAGGGGAAGAAGUACUGACCUCACGCCUGUAUCCACUGGUGAAGAUGUACUUUUGUGCUGUCUUGCACACUCUCUCCUUCUCUUUCUCUCUCUCUCUCCCCCUCCCUCUCCCUCUCCAUCAUCUCUCUCUCUCUCCUUCUCUCUUUCCCUCUCUCCUUCCUGUGGACACUGUCUGAGCUACUCUCUUCUGCCA
RNAcentral lists this long non-coding RNA (597 nucleotides) under Marmota monax (woodchuck). Lineage: Eukaryota; Metazoa; Chordata; Mammalia; Rodentia; Sciuridae. The record is from RNAcentral.